UACGUAGGGUCCGAGCGUUGUCCGGAAUUAUUGGGCGUAAAGAGCUCGUAGGCGGUUUGUCGCGUCUGCUGUGAAAUCCCGAGGCUCAACCUCGGGCCUGCAGUGGGUACGGGCAGACUGGAGUGCGGUAGGGGAGAAUGGAAUUCCUGGUGUAGCGGUGGAAUGCGCAGAUAUCAGGAGGAACACCGGUGGCGAAGGCGGUUCUCUGGGCAUUACCUGACGCUGAGGAGCGAAAGUGUGGGGAGCGAACAGG
Molecule: ribosomal RNA, 253 nt
Filed under: uncultured bacterium
Lineage: Bacteria
Description: partial 16S ribosomal RNA
Rfam family: Bacterial small subunit ribosomal RNA
Source: RNAcentral